UUUCGUACCCCCACACCUCUACUGUCAGGUUCAUUCCCACAACACUAACUGCCUUUAUUGCCAACAUAGUGUAUCAAUCACUACGGAAGCGACGUCGGCGAAAUAAUUAUGUAAGAUCUGUAUUAUAUCCUGCAUGAUUUUAGAGAUACAAAACCACAUUUUGAAAGCGACCGACUCCAUUUUGGAACAACUGAGAAUUUUAGAAUUAUUUUGUUGUCUAUUUGAGAUGAAUUAUGUAACAUCUGUAUUAUAUCUUCUUUGAUUUUACUGUUUAUUUGAGAUAAAUUAUGUAACAUAUGUAUAUCUUGAACAGUUCCUUCUCUAUGUUCUGUCAUAUUUUCCCACAUUAAAAACCGUGUAGGCUGUGUGGUCUUUUAAUUCUAUGAAACAGUGUUGUCUUUGUCUUUGUGUAUGAAUUAAGAGGGGAGAAACCGAAUAGGUUAUGCACAGGGAUUUCAUAUGAACGGGAAUGGUGGGGAUUGGGUGAGAGACCGGAUCACUAAUUCCCUGGGAGGUUAGAAACCACAGGUGAAUUCUACCAUGAGACAACCGAACAAGGCCUUAGGGGUCCAUAGUGCCGUGUGGGUCAGCCGGAGGGAGAGCCCGCGCCAUAUCCAACAAGAGCAGGAACGUGUCCGUAGGCACUCCAUGUCGGAUGCCGGGAGCCGCGUCAGACGCUGCCACACCUCCAUCGGCCACCUUCGUCCUCGCCCAGUUGUAAAAGAUGAGGGUGCGCCGCUAUUGUGGAACCUCGGUGGGCUCCGUCGCGAGCCGUGAUGGGGAGGCCGCCGUGGUACGUGCGCCGGGAGGUCGAGGCCGGUCUAUGCCCCGCCAUAGGCCAUUGUGUCAUCCAGCCCGAGCCACACACCUGAUUCGUCGGGUGCGCUCUAGCCGUUCCGUCCAGUGGAGGAGCAGCCAAGGCGCAUGGACGGGGGCAUCGCUAGCGAUGUUGACGAGAAGCAGCAGCGGUUGCCGCUCGAUCCAGUGCAAGAGAAAGGGAACGCAUGCGAUGGUCGUUGGGGUCUUUUCCCAACCAGAUGAAAAAGCAGCAAAAAGACCAGGUAACCCCGCUUCAAUUUGAGGAGGAGCCGAAGCCGGGGAUGAAGAGGCGGCCGAUUGUCGAAUACCACCGCUCUUGCCGCUCCAGCCCCACCACCACCCUUGCGGUCCUUGUCGCUCUUGCAUAGCUCCGGCCCAGCCACCACCACCGACGGCCCAUCGAACACUAGUAGUACUCCACGGCCGCCGCUCCCCUGCUCCAUGGCCGCCCACGCUGCUCCCCUGCUGCACCGCCAGUCGGGACUGAGGAUUGAGAAGAAAGGAGGAGGGGAUUCGGCGCCGCGCUCUACAGCUUGGCCCACCUGCUCCUUUGUCGGUGGUGGGGCGCAUCCAGCGGCUCCGCGGCUCCUCAUCCAGCGUCGGCACACGCGGAUCCAGCCUCUGACGCAUACAAGUUCGUCGCCGACAAAAAGACUCGAGCUUUUGACGAAGGUGGUGGGGAGAGGUCGGCGACGAGCGAGGGAGAGAACAAGAAGGAUGAGAGCGAGAGGGGAUGAGACAAUGAGCAAGUGGGCGAGUGCGUGGCGACGAAUGGCAUUUUGGAAAGGAUAGAAAUGUCGUAGUGUUACGCGAUUUGUACUAACAAACCUUUAACGACUUAUAAUUCGGAACGGAGGAAGUAUUAUCUUAUGUUACCUUCCCUGAUUGAAAGAUUAGGAAGUAUUAUCUUAUGUUA
Molecule: long non-coding RNA, 1735 nt
Organism: Hordeum vulgare subsp. vulgare (domesticated barley)
Lineage: Eukaryota; Viridiplantae; Streptophyta; Magnoliopsida; Poales; Poaceae
Exons: 2
Source: RefSeq, a predicted model, not a curated record